AUGACGAUAAUGUUAAUACAGGUUAGAAUGAGGCGACAGGGACAGGGUCAGGGACAGGGGCAAUACGGGGAUCCUAACAUCAAUUCCAUGGUCUCUUCCCAGUUGCAUCACUACCAGGCUCAGCAAAGGGUUCAACAACUCCCUGGUAAUAGUUACCCUGGAAGAGAUCCUGGGCAAGCUGCUGGGGAGAACCAGUAUACCACCCAGAAGGUGAGACAGAGCCAAUGGGACAGAGGUGGACCGAAUAUCCCGAAUCAGAUUUCACCAUAUGCAUAUAACGAGGGUCAAAGUGCUGAGGGUAAACGAUCCUUUUAUGAUGGACAACAAUCUGAUAUGAAGGUUGGUCUAGAAAAGCAACCAAGAAAGGAAUCGAGGGACCAGCCUCGUACCGAUAAGAUUGAAGCAAGGCACGAUGACUAUAAUCUUCCUCGUACAUUUGAAAGUCUAGAGAAGAGUUUUCGUGAAGACAUCGUGGUCCUAUCCAAGGAACUAAAUGAUGCAGAGGAUGCUGAAAAUACUAGGCACAGGGAGAGAUUGAACGAAAUAAAUGCACAGUACCAUGAGAAACUAUUGGCACUUCGAGCUCGCCAGACGGCCUAUCGAGAAGAAUUCCUGCGCAAAGAGUCUCUGGAACGCCAGCAGCAAUACCAAAAGGCCACCAUAAGCAAUUAUGCAAAUAAUGUGGUGCCUAGGGAACCACGUGGCUAUCCUCCAACAGCUGUAGCCACGCCUCCUGCUGCUGCUCCCUCUGGAGGUUCUUAUGGAGAGGCUCAUCGGGGUUAUGCAUCUGGUCAGUAUGAAACCUUUGGGGAGCGGCCAGAUUACCCAGAGUUCCAUGGUGGGGGCCAAGGCCGUGAUCAUGGUUUUGAGCAUCGUGGUCAUCAAUACCCUGGCGGUCGUGCUUAUAACUCUGGCGGGCGCAGAUUCUAA
Molecule: ribosomal RNA, 930 nt
Filed under: Triticum aestivum (bread wheat)
Lineage: Eukaryota; Viridiplantae; Streptophyta; Magnoliopsida; Poales; Poaceae
Description: partial small subunit ribosomal RNA
Source: RNAcentral